UACGUAGGGUGCGAGCGUUGUCCGGAAUUAUUGGGCGUAAAGAGCUCGUAGGCGGCCUGUCGCGUCGGAUGUGAAAGCCCGGGGCUCAACCCCGGGUGUGCAGUGGGUACGGGCAGGCUGGAGUGCAGUAGGGGAGACUGGAAUUCCUGGUGUAGCGGUGAAAUGCGCAGAUAUCAGGAGGAACACCGAUGGCGAAGGCAGGUCUCUGGGCUGUUACUGACGCUGAGGAGCGAAAGCGUGGGGAGCAAACAGG
RNAcentral lists this ribosomal RNA (253 nucleotides) under uncultured bacterium. RNAcentral describes it as "partial 16S ribosomal RNA". It matches the Rfam family "Bacterial small subunit ribosomal RNA", at positions 524 to 776 of the family's 1533-position model. The record is from RNAcentral.